Long non-coding RNA from Siniperca chuatsi (mandarin fish), 387 nucleotides. RefSeq lists it as uncharacterized. Lineage: Eukaryota; Metazoa; Chordata; Actinopteri; Centrarchiformes; Sinipercidae. The transcript is spliced from 3 exons. The record is from RefSeq and is a predicted model, not a curated record.
GCUUAGUUACACCUGUGCUUUUCCUGCUAUGGCCAGUUAAAUGUGCGCCUUGUAAAAGGGCAUAGUCUACCAGUAAUGUCUGUCUUUAGAAGGAAAUACAUAGCAGACCAUAAUUUUGACAAGGUGAAAUUGCAGCCAUGUUAUCUGUUCAUCUUCGUGCUAUUCCAGUGGCCAACAACAACCAGACCUUCUCAUGAAACCAGAGAGACACCGAGAGAGACAGAGGAAGACGUGAAGACGGAGCGCAUGUCAGGUAUAAUUGGUGUCUUGUUUACACAACAGCGCACUUGGCAACACACCCUUACAGGAAGAAUGACAAAUGUCAAAUUUGGGCAUGAGAUGAUUUUUUCCCCAGCUGAAUGAAGGAAUAAAUGCUUUAAAAUUGCA